AACAAAGUCUCACAACAAAAGGUUAAAACCCAUUUUCAAUUCUUCUCUCAAGCUUUUCUUCUUUAUAAUUAAAAGCAUUCAUCUUUUUUCUCAUUCUUCCUUUCCGUUAAUGAAGCUAAUUCGCUCAGCCCACUUCUACUCUCUCGUAUUUAUUUUUCAUGAACAAAAGUCAUACUUGCUUGUUUGGCUCUCUCUGACGCAUCAAUCAACUUUUCUAAGAUUUUGUAGAAAACAGAAAGACAAAAUUACCUAAGCGAAUUAGCUUCACAAAUGAAAAAGAAGAAAGAGAAAGAAGACGAAUGCUUUUGAUUAUGAAGAAGAAAACCUUGAGAGAAGAGUGGAGAGUAGGUUUUGACCCUUUGUUGUCAGACAUUGUUAUCCAUUUGCAGACAGAAGGGAGAAGAAAGUUCAAAGUAUUGUGUAUUGGAUGUCAUCUUCAAUUGGUGUAUUGGAUGUAGCUUUUCAAGUGGGCCCCAUUUGUAAGUGGGCAACUUGCCCACUUGGUAUUUGCUCUUCUUAACUAUGUCUAUAUAUAUAGGCAAGAUUGUUAUGGAAAAAUGCAUUGAACGGACAUAAUAUAGAUACAUACUUCUCCUCUA
Molecule: long non-coding RNA, 599 nt
Organism: Solanum dulcamara
Lineage: Eukaryota; Viridiplantae; Streptophyta; Magnoliopsida; Solanales; Solanaceae
Exons: 3
Source: RefSeq, a predicted model, not a curated record